Non-coding RNA from Macaca mulatta (Rhesus monkey), 2492 nucleotides. The record is from RefSeq and is a predicted model, not a curated record. NCBI's taxonomy places the organism in Eukaryota, Metazoa, Chordata, Mammalia, Primates, Cercopithecidae.
CAUGUAUAUUAUUAAGUGAAAGAAGCCAGUCUGAAAAGGCUACAUACUGUAGGAUUCCAACUAUCUGAGAUCCUGAAAAAGGUAGAACUACUGAGACGUAAAAUGAUAAGGGGUUGCCAGGGCUUAAGAGGAAAAGGGGGAUGAAUAGGUGGAGCACAGAAGAUUUUUAGAGCAGUAAAGCUGUUCUGUAUGAUACUAUAAUGGUGGAUACAGGUCAUUAUGAAUUUGUUCAAACUCAAAGAAUGUACAACACAGAGUGAACCCUAAUGCAAACUAUGGACUUUGAAUGAUAAUACUAUGUCAAUAUAGUUUCAUCAGUUGUAACAAAUGUACCACUAUGGUGAAGAUGUUAAAAAUGGGGGAUGUUGAAAAUGCCUGUGUCAGCACUGGGAAUACAUGAGAAAUCUCUACCUUCUGCUCAGUUUUGUUGCAAACCUAAAACUGCUCUAAAAAAAUAAAAUCUACUUUUUUUUAAAAAAAGCAGCACACCUAAUUUUAUAACUAACCAGGUUGGGAAGGGCAAACAUAUAAAUCUUCUGGAUAAUCCUCUUUGUUUAACUUCACCUUUCUAAAGAGCAGCAGCUGGGUAGGUGUUGGCUGCUUUUCCUGCUAUGUAAAUGACAGGCCCUGGCCAAGAAUGCUUAACAGACAGGUGUGUCCCAGCCUCUCCCCUACUUUUACCCAAGUCAGUUUUUUUUUCAUUCCUAGGCUAACUCUAAGGUGGAAAGCUUUUCCUAAGUGGGGGGUUGUGUUGGUCUUAAGGCUUAUGUAACUUGGACAUAGCCUCUUUAAGGAGAAAAAAAAAAAAUCAAUGUAUGAAUAUAAAACUAAGUACAAAGGCCCUCAGAAGAGGUCUAUAAUAAUGAGGAAUUCUAAAGCUUAAGCUUCAUUACCUUCACAGCAGAUUUACCUCUGCACAACUUUCUCAUUUUGGAGCAAAUCAAAAGAACUCUGUUUUACAAAUGUCUACGUUUUCAAUAUAUAUAGUUAAAUUGAAUUUUUAGAAAUAAAAAGGAGAAAAAACUCCACAGAAAUGGACCAUUUUGGCUGAGAACUGCAAAAACUCUGGGCACAAACAUGUUAUUCACCCUCUCUUGAGAGACUUAGCCAUUCCCAGGCUUUUAGCAGCCUGAGCCUUGUCUCUGGGAAGACCCAAACACCUUUUGAGUUCCUGUCUGGAAGAGUUCAGUCCCUAACCUCCCUUUCUUACAGCUUUUACUAAAAAGGGCUUGCAAUUGUGAAUCUUUCCUCUGUCCCUUCCAGAUGUAUAUGCAUCUCCUGCAACUCAGGAGUGUCUUUCUCAAGGACUUGAAAGCCAUUCCUUUGAAAUGUAAUCCUCAGGAAGGAAAGGGCCUCUGUCUCAGUCUCUGUGGGAGGAUAGAAGCCUAACUUCAAUAAUUGCCAGCAAGCAUUCACAGUUGGCUUAAUUGCAUUUGCAUUGACCAACCUUUUGUAAUUUUUCACUUCCCUGAUUCCACUGAGCCUCCGCUCACGCCUCUCCUACUCUCUCAUUCUCCUUUAAAAACACCCAGUCACCUCUGUGCAAAUCUGAAUGGAGCUCAGCCCUUUCCCUUGUUAUCAGUAGCUACUGAACAAAAUCAGUUUUCACUGUUUUAACUAACAUCCGACUUUGUUUAUCUUUUACAUGCCCCGGAAGAGUCUGAGGCUGAGUUCUUAACCACAGCCCAGUGGCACAGGCUUCAUUGGUGGUUCUGGAAGUUAGAAGUCCAAAAUGGAUCUUAUUCAGCUAAGAAUCAAGGUGUCAGGAGUCUGUCCCUUAUGGAAGCAUUAUGGGAGCAUCUGUUUCCUUGUCCUUUUCAGCUUCUAGAGGCCGCCUGUAUUCUUGACUUGCAGCCCUUCCUCCAUCAUUAAAGGACAUCUCUUCAAUCUCUGCUUCCAUCCUCACUGGCCUUCCCCUCUCACUCUGACUCCUCCUGGGUCACUCAAGAUCUUUGACUUAAAUAUAUAUAGCUAUAUAUAUUUUACUCUAGUUAUUUAUAUUUAAUAUAUUUUGAUGAUAUAUAUUUUAAUUGACAGAUAAUAAUUGUCUAUAUUUCUGAGGUACAAUGUGAUGUUUUGAUAUAUUUAUACAUUGUGGAAUGAUUGUAUCAAGCUAAUUAACAUAUCCAUCAUUUCACACAUAAUCAUGCAUUGCUUAACAAGUGGGAUACAUUCUGCGAAAUGGUAUGGCCUAUUGCUCCUGGGCUACAAAGCUGUUCAGCUGGUUACUGUACUGAAUAGUGCAGGCAGUUGUAACACAAGCUAGGUAUUUAUAUGUCUAAACAUAUUUAAACAUAGAAAAGGUAUAGUAAAAAUACAGUAUUCUAAUCUUAUGGGACCACAGUCAUCCAUCGUUGGCUGAAACAUUGUGUGUAUGGAUGACUGCGUAAUGAGAACUUUAAAAUCUAUUCUUUUAGCAAUUUUGAAAUACACAAUUUAUGAUGAUUAACUAUAGCCACAUUGCUGUGCAAUAAAUUCAAGAUCCUUAAUCA